AGAGUUUGAUCAUGGCUCAGGACGAACGCUGGCGGCGUGCUUAACACAUGCAAGUCGAGCGGAAAGGCCCUUCGGGGUACUCGAGCGGCGAACGGGUGAGUAACACGUGAGUAAUCUGCCCCUAGCUCUGGGAUAGCUCCGGGAAACCGGGAUUAAUACCGGAUACGACCACCUUAGACAUCUUUUGUGGUGGAAAGAAUUUCGGCUAGGGAUGAGCUCGCGGCCUAUCAGCUUGUUGGUGGGGUAACGGCCUACCAAGGCGACGACGGGUAGCCGGCCUGAGAGGGCGACCGGCCACACUGGGACUGAGACACGGCCCAGACUCCUACGGGAGGCAGCAGUGGGGAAUAUUGCGCAAUGGGCGAAAGCCUGACGCAGCGACGCCGCGUGGGGGAUGAAGGCCUUCGGGUUGUAAACCCCUUUCAGCAGGGACGAAGCGAAAGUGACGGUACCUGCAGAAGAAGCGCCGGCUAACUACGUGCCAGCAGCCGCGGUAACACGUAGGGCGCAAGCGUUGUCCGGAAUUAUUGGGCGUAAAGAGCUCGUAGGCGGUCUGUUGCGUCCGCUGUGAAAACUCGGGGCUUAACCCCGAGCCUGCAGUGGAUACGGGCAGACUAGAGGUAGGUAGGGGGAGAAUGGAAUUCCCGGUGUAGCGGUGAAAUGCGCAGAUAUCGGGAGGAACACCGGUGGCGAAGGCGGUUCUCUGGGCCUUACCUGACGCUGAGGAGCGAAAGCGUGGGGAGCGAACAGGAUUAGAUACCCUAGUAGUCC
This 771-nucleotide ribosomal RNA is filed under the name uncultured bacterium. RNAcentral describes it as "bacterial SSU rRNA". It matches the Rfam family "Bacterial small subunit ribosomal RNA", at positions 8 to 796 of the family's 1533-position model. The record is from RNAcentral.